GUGGAGAGUUUUGGUGAAAUUUUGGGUUUCUUUCUGGUUGAAGUGAAAUUUUAGCUUUCUUUGUGGUUGGUAGCUUUAUUUGCUGUUUGUAAUCGUUAACUACCGUUCUAUGUAUCUCAAGUGCUACCUUUGAUUCUAAAUUUCUAAAUUUCUAUGUAAGAGAUUUGUUUUGUGUAAAUUGUUUGAAUAAAAGUUCAUUGUGUUUACUUAGAUUCAUGAAUAAAUAUUUCAUGUACGGAUG
RNAcentral lists this unclassified non-coding RNA (241 nucleotides) under Hevea brasiliensis (rubber tree). Lineage: Eukaryota; Viridiplantae; Streptophyta; Magnoliopsida; Malpighiales; Euphorbiaceae. The record is from RNAcentral.